Molecule: long non-coding RNA, 227 nt
Filed under: Ananas comosus (pineapple)
Lineage: Eukaryota; Viridiplantae; Streptophyta; Magnoliopsida; Poales; Bromeliaceae
Description: long non-coding RNA (ACOM_LNC042559)
Source: RNAcentral
AAUAGCAGUAAGAUUUCGCGGAAUACUGAUCGUCCCUAGCAUAAAUGACAAAGAGCUUGAUGGUUGAUAUCUGAGGUCUCAAAUUUGAAUCCUAAUUGAUUCACAUUUUCAGCUAAAUUUAUUUCUAAAUGAAAUAAACGAAACGGGUAACAUGCUAUCUUUCUCUCAAAUAAAACAAAAAAAGAUUUUGGAGAAUCUGCGUCUAUUUAAUCAAGUGAAGCGUAAUU